This 897-nucleotide ribosomal RNA is filed under the name Bacteroidales bacterium. RNAcentral's name for it is "bacterial SSU rRNA". It matches the Rfam family "Bacterial small subunit ribosomal RNA", at positions 8 to 900 of the family's 1533-position model. Lineage: Bacteria; Pseudomonadati; Bacteroidota; Bacteroidia; Bacteroidales. RNAcentral also lists the same sequence under 1 other name. The record is from RNAcentral.
AGAGUUUGAUCCUGGCUCAGGAUGAACGCUGGCGGCAGGCUUAAUACAUGCAAGUUGAACGGUAACAUGUUGUAGCAAUACGAUGAUGACGAGUGGCGCACGGGUGCGUAACACGUGUGUAACCUACCUUAUACAGGAACAUAACGUUGAGAAAUCGGCGCUAACAUUCCAUAAUAUUAUUUGUAGGCAUCUAUGAAUAAUUAAAACUCCGGUGGUAUAAGAUGGGCACGCGUUCCAUUAGCUAGUUGGUAAGGUAACGGCUUACCAAGGCAACGAUGGAUAGGGGUUCUGAGAGGAUAAUCCCCCACACUGGAACUGAGACACGGUCCAGACUCCUACGGGAGGCAGCAGUAAGGAAUAUUGGGCAAUGGAGGCAACUCUGACCCAGCCAUGCCGCGUGCAGGAAGACGGCCCUAUGGGUUGUAAACUGCUUUUAAUAGGGAUUAAAGUCGACUACGUGUAGUUGUUUGCAAGUACCUAUAGAAUAAGCAUCGGCUAACUCCGUGCCAGCAGCCGCGGUAAUACGGAGGAUGCAAGCGUUAUCCGGAUUCAUUGGGUUUAAAGGGUGCGCAGGCGGAUUGGUAAGUCAGGGGUGAAAUCCCACAGCUCAACUGUGGAACUGCCUUUGAUACUGUCAGUCUAGAGUAUAGUUGAAGUUGGCGGAAUGUGUCAUGUAGCGGUGAAAUGCUUAGAUAUGACACAGAACACCGAUCGCGAAGGCAGCUAGCUAAGCUAUAACUGACGCUCAUGCACGAAAGCGUGGGGAUCAAACAGGAUUAGAUACCCUGGUAGUCCACGCUGUAAACGAUGAUAACUUGUUGUUGGGCACAUAGUGCUCAGUGGCUAAGCGAAAGCGAUAAGUUAUCCACCUGGGGAGUACGAUCGCAAGGUUGAAAC